Molecule: small RNA, 75 nt
Filed under: Haematospirillum jordaniae
Lineage: Bacteria; Pseudomonadati; Pseudomonadota; Alphaproteobacteria; Rhodospirillales; Novispirillaceae
Description: Makes More Granules Regulator RNA (mmgR)
Rfam family: Makes More Granules Regulator RNA (mmgR)
About the family: SuhB later renamed mmgR (makes more granules regulator) was a putative non-coding RNA found multiple times in the Agrobacterium tumefaciens genome and related alpha-proteobacteria. Other non-coding RNAs uncovered in the same analysis include: speF, ybhL, metA, and serC.
Source: Rfam by way of RNAcentral
CUAUGUUGUCUUUCUUGGACGUUUCCUCCCUAAACUUGGGCCGUACUUCGUGUGCGGCCUUUUUUUCGGGAUUAU